RNAcentral lists this ribosomal RNA (460 nucleotides) under uncultured bacterium. RNAcentral describes it as "partial 16S ribosomal RNA". It matches the Rfam family "Bacterial small subunit ribosomal RNA", at positions 338 to 795 of the family's 1533-position model. The record is from RNAcentral.
CCUACGGGGUGCAGCAGUGAGGAAUAUUUGUCAAUGGGCUUACGCCUGAACCAGCCAAGUCGCGUGAGGGAAGACUGCCCUAUGGGUUGUAAACCUCUUUUGUCAGGGAGCACCGCCGGCUACGGCUAGCCGGACUGAGAAUACCUGAACAAAAACCAUCGGCUAACUCCGUGCAAGCAGCCGCGGUAAUACGGAGGAUGCUAGCGUUAUCCGUAUUUAUUGGGUUUAAAGGGUGCGUAGGCGGAAUGCCAAGUCAGCGGUAAAAUCGCGGGGCCCAACCUCGCUCCGCCGUUGAAACUGGCGUUCUUGAGUGGGCGAGAAGUAUGCGGAAUGCGUGGUGUAGCGGUGAAAUGCAUAGAUAUCACGCAGAACUCCGAUUGCGAAGGCAGCAUACCGGCGCCCAACUGACGCUGAAGCACGAAAGCGUGGGUAUCGAACAGGAUUAGAUACCCGUGUAGUC